GACGAACGCUGGCGGCGUGCUUAACACAUGCAAGUCGAACGGAAAGGCCCUGCUUUUGUGGGGUGCUCGAGUGGCGAACGGGUGAGUAACACGUGAGUAACCUGCCCUUGACUUUGGGAUAACUUCAGGAAACUGGGGCUAAUACCGGAUAGGAGCUCCUGCUGCAUGGUGGGGGUUGGAAAGUUUCGGCGGUUGGGGAUGGACUCGCGGCUUAUCAGCUUGUUGGUGGGGUAGUGGCUUACCAAGGCUUUGACGGGUAGCCGGCCUGAGAGGGUGACCGGCCACAUUGGGACUGAGAUACGGCCCAGACUCCUACGGGAGGCAGCAGUGGGGAAUAUUGCACAAUGGGCGGAAGCCUGAUGCAGCAACGCCGCGUGCGGGAUGACGGCCUGCGGGUUGUAAACCGCUUGCGCCGGUGACGAAGCGUGAGUGACGGUAAUGGGUAAAGAAGCACCGGCUAACUACGUG
This 468-nucleotide ribosomal RNA is filed under the name uncultured bacterium. RNAcentral's name for it is "partial 16S ribosomal RNA". It matches the Rfam family "Bacterial small subunit ribosomal RNA", at positions 28 to 507 of the family's 1533-position model. The record is from RNAcentral.